Hydra vulgaris (swiftwater hydra) is the source of this 948-nucleotide non-coding RNA. The record is from RefSeq and is a predicted model, not a curated record. NCBI's taxonomy places the organism in Eukaryota, Metazoa, Cnidaria, Hydrozoa, Anthoathecata, Hydridae.
CAAAAACCAUUUAUAACAUUUGAUUUUCUAAUUAAUAUAAUGUUCAAAUUGUUUGAUUUUAUUUAAACAUCUAAUCUCUUUUAUCUCCAUUUGAUUUAUGCAAUUUUUUCAAUAAUCUACUGGGUAUCUUUUAAAUAUAGUUUUUUAUAAAUAUGAUUCUUUUUUUGCAGGUUGUGUUUUGCAAAUAAACAAGUUUAAAAUGAAAUUUAAGUAGACAGUGGUACAGUUAUGAUUUUCAUUUUUGGUGUUAAUCCAUCACAACCUGGAUACUAUUCUGGGCUGGUCUAUCAAAGUUUCAAGCAGUUUACAGUCUGAGGGAAAAGGGUACAAAUUAACCAAAGUUGUACUUGCAGGUUACAAGGGAGAAAACUGUGAAAUAUGGUUGACUAUAGAGAAACUAUAGAGAUACACAGAAUAAUGAGCACAUGAUAGUGUUGAAAAUAUGAUGAGGCUUGGUAUCCAGUUUAUUACCGACAGCUAAAAUGCAAGAACCUUGUUUCAAAAUGAAAGAUCGUUGCAAUGUCAAGCUUUGAUAUCAUUCAUCAAGCACUCUUGUUGAUUAAACAAUCAAGUAUGGAUAAAGAAAUCAGGGUGAUUAUUUGAUGUGUCAAUGGGAGCCUUUGGCAGUGUUGAGUCACGAUGCUGAGGUAGAGGCUUUAACUUUCAAUUUUGCUUCAAAAGAUGCUGAGGUGCAGCUUUAACUUUCAAGAAAAAUUUGAAAAAAACAGAAAUUCGGAUGAGAAAAGAAGAAAGAAAAAUUAAUGUAAAAAACAAAUUAAGAAACAAGUUGACCCAAAAAAAUACGCAAGACACAUUAUUAAGUUUCUACAAUGCGGACAUAUACAUUAUUAAGUACAUACUAUGCGGAAGCCAUGAACAACGCCGUCUCCUACUCGGAUAGUUUAUUUUUUUUAUGUACACAGUUGAUAAUAGAAAGUUUGCAUAAAA